AUUGAACGCUGGCGGCAGGCCUAACACAUGCAAGUCGAACGGUAACAGGAAGCAGCUUGCUGCUUUGCUGACGAGUGGCGGACGGGUGAGUAAUGUCUGGGAAACUGCCCGAUGGAGGGGGAUAACUACUGGAAACGGUAGCUAAUACCGCAUAACGUCGCAAGACCAAAGAGGGGGACCUUAGGGCCUCUUGCCAUCGGAUGUGCCCAGAUGGGAUUAGCUAGUAGGUGGGGUAACGGCUCACCUAGGCGACGAUCUCUAGCUGGUCUGAGAGGAUGACCAGCCACACUGGAACUGAGACACGGUCCAGACUCCUACGGGAGGCAGCAGUGGGGAAUAUUGCACAACGGGCGCAAGCCUGAUGCAGCCAUGCCGCGUGUAUGAAGAAGGCCUUCGGGUUGUAAAGUACUUUCAGCGGGGAGGAAGGGAGUAAAGUUAAUACCUUUGCUCAUUGACGUUACCCGCAGAAGAAGCACCGGCUAACUCCGUG
This 490-nucleotide ribosomal RNA is filed under the name uncultured bacterium. RNAcentral describes it as "partial 16S ribosomal RNA". It matches the Rfam family "Bacterial small subunit ribosomal RNA", at positions 30 to 507 of the family's 1533-position model. The record is from RNAcentral.